GCCAACGGCCAUACCACCCUGAAAGCGCCCGAUCUCGUCUGAUCUCGGAAGCUAAGCAGGGACGGGCCUGGUUAGUACCUGGAUGGGAAACCGCCUGGGAAUCCAAGGUGUUGUAGGCU
RNAcentral lists this ribosomal RNA (119 nucleotides) under Xenopus tropicalis (tropical clawed frog). Lineage: Eukaryota; Metazoa; Chordata; Amphibia; Anura; Pipidae. The record is from RNAcentral.